GACGAACGCUGGCGGCGUGCUUAACACAUGCAAGUCGAACGGAAAGGCCCUGCUUGCAGGGUACUCGAGUGGCGAACGGGUGAGUAACACGUGGGUGAUCUGCCCUGCACUUCGGGCUAAGCCUGGGAAACUGGGUCUAAUACCGGAUAGGAGCCAUUCUUAGUGUGAUGGUUGGAAAGUUUUUUCGGUGUAGGAUGAGCUCGCGGCCUAUCAGCUUGUUGGUGGGGUAAUGGCCUACCAAGGCGGCGAGGGGUAGCCGGCCUGAGAGGGUGGACGGCCACAUUGGGACUGGGAUACGGCCCAGACUCCUACGGGAGGCAGCAGUGGGGAAUAUUGCACAAUGGGCGCAAGCCUGAUGCAGCGACGCCGCGUGGGGGAUGACGGCCUUCGGGUUGUAAACUCCUUUCGCUAGGGACGAAGCUUUUUGUGACGGUACCUAGAUAAGAAGCACCGGCUAACUACGUG
This 465-nucleotide ribosomal RNA is filed under the name uncultured bacterium. RNAcentral's name for it is "partial 16S ribosomal RNA". It matches the Rfam family "Bacterial small subunit ribosomal RNA", at positions 28 to 507 of the family's 1533-position model. The record is from RNAcentral.